Molecule: long non-coding RNA, 717 nt
Organism: Alligator sinensis (Chinese alligator)
Lineage: Eukaryota; Metazoa; Chordata; Crocodylia; Alligatoridae
Exons: 4
Source: RefSeq, a predicted model, not a curated record
CCCUGAAGUGAGUGGAUGAGCUCUAGCUUCGUUGUGGGAUCUGGUACUGUAGCAGUGGCACUGAUUUUGAACUCAGGUUUGCUGCUUUCUUCAAGCCUAAAUGAAGGGGAUUUGUAGCUAAGUCUACUGGACUUUGAUGCAGUACCAGCAUGUUCGUUGGACCUAUGUACAGUACAUGGAGGAGGAGGAUUGGAUGAGAAUUAAAAGGCUGCUGUCAGGGUAGUGUCAACAUACUUCCAUGGGAAAUAACGAUGUGUUGCCAAGAGUCUUCCAAUGAGUUGUACAGAGGUGACAUGAAACUGUCUGAGUGUUUUUGGAACUUCUAAAUGGACAGCCCCCAGCACCUUCACUAGAGCAGGACUGUGUGACAGGGUGCUUGAAGCACCCUGCCAUGGACAGAAUGAGAAAGAACCAAAAGAGAAAAACUUACCCUGAGGAGCAGAAGGAGCUGCAACAAACCCGGAGACAUCAAACGCUGCACUUGAAACAACUGGGGGAAUCAGCUGGGGCCAUGGCAGAUCAAAGGCUGCCACAGCAAACCCAGCUACCAGGUUUCAAACCUGAGAAGAGGAAAGUGGCACAGGAAGACAAGAAGGAGAAAAACAAAGAGAGAAACCAUGCUGGAAAGCUAAGGAGGAACAGCUGUGUUGGACAGGCAGCGAAUAGGAAGCUGCCAUGAUGGACCCAGCUGGGGAGAGGGAGAUUUAAGGGACACCG